GCCAGGCAUGGUGGCACAUGCCUAUCUUCCCAGCUACUCGGGAGGCUGAUGGAAGGAUCACUUGAGCCCAAGAACUCUGGACUGUAGUGUGCUAUGCCAGUCAGGUAUCUGUACUAAGUUCUGCAUCAGUAUGAUGACCUUCCGGGAACAGGGACUACGAGGUUGCCUAAGGAGAGGUGAACUGGCCCAGGUCAGAAAUGGAGCAGGUCAAAACACCUAUGCCGAUCAGUAGUGUGAUCAUGCCUAUGAAUAGCCACUGUACUCCAGAUUGGGCAACAUAGUGAUACUCCAUCUCUU
Molecule: unclassified non-coding RNA, 297 nt
Organism: Callithrix jacchus (white-tufted-ear marmoset)
Lineage: Eukaryota; Metazoa; Chordata; Mammalia; Primates; Cebidae
Rfam family: Metazoan signal recognition particle RNA
About the family: The signal recognition particle (SRP) is a universally conserved ribonucleoprotein. It is involved in the co-translational targeting of proteins to membranes. The eukaryotic SRP consists of a 300-nucleotide 7S RNA and six proteins: SRPs 72, 68, 54, 19, 14, and 9.
Source: Ensembl